AUUAUCAUCAUCAUCUUCUUAUUGCUUUCUUAUUGUAAUUAUAAAAACAAAUACAUGCUCCAAGCGAAAGUUCUUGUAUGCACCUAGGUACAAGUGAACCAAUAGUUAUAAUUUAAUCUGAACCGUUGAUUUGAUCUGGUUUUAUAAAUUUACUAACUUUGAUAUUAACACUGUUAAAUGACACUAACAACGAUGCUAACACCGCUAAGAAUAAAAACCAAAAAAAAAAAAGAAGUCAAACGUGGUAAAAACGUGAUAAAAGCACAAAACAGUUAAAUAUUUAGCUAAUCAAAUUAAACCAAGAUAAUUUUCCAUUCAAAAAUUGUCUCUUUGUAGAAUUUAUAAGUCUGNNNNNNNNNNNNNNNNNNNNUACUAUAUAUAUAUAUAUAUAUAUAUAUAUAUAUAUAUAUAUAUAUAUAUAUAUGAGGCUGUGGCUUGCGAAUUUUAUUACUUUUUGAUUUAUGUAUGUCACUCUUAAAUGUUAAGUUAAUUUUUUAUGGACAGGAUAAAAUAUAAAUCGUUGUAUACAAUAGGACUAGCUGAUAUGAAUAUGUAACAUUUAUCCGCAGUCGGCAUAAAAAUCAAAGGUUGAUUUCAUUUUUCGGAAGGGCCACCGCAAGCAAGAUUUCUUCACGAUAGAGAUGGUUUAAUCCAUUUCUAAUGGUGCAAGGCCUCCACCAAAAGCUCUACGCGGAUAGCUUUUGCAUGGAGAUUUGAAGUCUUGAACUAUAUAUAUCACUUUCCCACGACUAAAGUAGAUAUUCUAGUCUAGCCAAUAUGGAAUUCAAGUUCCUUUCCCAUUAGUGAACGAAAGAGCUAGGCAUAAUGGCAUCACAAUGUGAAGCAAGGCCAUCAAGAAGGAAUUGAAUAUGCUUCAAAAGGUGGUUAACCCCUUACCUGUCGGUGCAACCUUGGUGUGGCGUGGUGCAGCUGAGGCCAAGAACUGAACACAAACCCAACCCUUUACAGCUACUAUAUCACAGUAGUACACAGACUAGACUUGAGGCAAACACCAACCCAACCCUUCCCCACCUUCCCCUUUUUUGCAGUUUGUGAAAAGAGACCAACCAACCAACCGCCCAAAACACAGUCGGGAGAGAUCUGAGUACAGCUCAGUUUAGGCAAGAUGACAAUGCCCAAAAGCCUCGUAUCAGAAUAGGAAUUCUUUAGUGUCAUAAUGAAAUGAGAGACUGAAUCUCGAUCACACCAUUGCGUGGUGUAGAAGCAACCGGAUCACUACUUUUGCAGUGACAUUUCGUUUUCCUAAGCUAGCUGUACGUACAAGCAUAAUUACCAAGCUCACAAUCGCAACCGCGCAGGCAUGAGACUUCAUUAACAUUAGCCUCGAUCUUCAGACAGGCCAUGUGAGAUACAAUUAUUUACGGUGUGUAUCGUCGACACAUUUCCAGAAUUGAUUUGUCGAAAGUUCUUGUAUGCACCUAGGUACAAGUGAACCAAUAGUUAUAAUUUAAUCUGAACCGUUGAUUUGAUCUGGUUUUAUAAAUUCACUAACUUUGAUAUUAACAUUGUUAAAUGACACUAACAACGAUGCUAACACCGUUAAGAAUAGAAACCCAAAAAAAAGAGUCAAACGUGGUAAAAACGUGAUAAAAGCACAAAACAGUUAAAUAUUUAGCUAAUCAAAUUAAACCAAGAUAAUUUUCCAUUCAAAAAUUGUCUCUUUGUAGAAUUUAUAAGUCUGUUGAGUAUCCUCUCUCUCUCUCAUCAGCGGCGACCCGAUGGCGAUGGAGCAUGAUGAGCCUGCAGGUGCGACCAAUAAGGCGGUCGUAAUAUGGCUCCUCCGGCGCACAACAGCACGGCUCUCCCACAAUAAUUUUGAGGGUCAUACAAGGUCAUCGACAACGUCACGCAGCCAGAGCCAAGCGGAUCCCACUGGUUGGUGUCGGGAUGGACGGCGACAGACGUACGUAGUGCAGGUGGGUGAGAUAGGGGUUCGAUCUGGGAGAUAGGAAUGGUGCAGAUGGGUGGACGUGUGGGAAACUGGGAAUGAUGAGGUGUCUUGGGCCUGAACCUUAUGGCCUCCGGUUCUUCUAGUUUUUUCAUAAUUAAAUAUAAUAGAGAUUACUUAAAAAAUUAUUCAAAAAAGAAAUAUAUAUAUAUAUAUAUAUUUGAUAAAUUAAAAGUGAUCAUAUAUAGCAUAUAGCAUUUUAAUUCAAAUGUAUAUAAAGAUUAUCUGCAAAAUUAAUAAUACUGAAACUAAAAAUUGAUGAAUUUGAUAAAGAAUUGAACAUUUACCGCAUAGCAAAUGAAUUUUGUAAACGCUUUGCUCUUUUCUCGGGAAUAAAUAAAGGAUAUGGACAAAAUCGAUAAAAUGGAAGAAAUUCUUACUCAUAAAAUAAUUGAUUAAGAAAAUUAGACCACAUUUAAAAUUUUAAAAAAUCAGCUGUAUGAUGUGAUAGUUAUAGUGAAAUACGGUCAUGGUAGAAAAAUUAAAUAUUUUCGAUAACAUUUUAGCCUCGAUAAGGCGGUCAACUCUAUUUACGCUUAUUCUUUUUAAUGGAGAGCCCUAUCAUCAUGAGGUAAACUUUAUCAAAUGUUUACAUGGGCUGUUACAUCUCUUUUGCAUGAGUGUGUGCGUAGAUGAAUUGACCAGAAUAAGUAAUAAUGGGUUGGGUGAGAAUGUUUUCGUGUGAUAUGGGACAUCGAUUUAGGGUUGACCGUGUGGAUCGAGACACAUAUAUUAUAAAAAAUAGGUGAAUUUUUUUUCAUAGCCAUAUCCAACUACACUGAUUACAUCAAACGGUCAUACUUUGAUUUUAUAAAAUUUAAUUAUUAGGAUCCCAACGUGCCUACUAAUGUGGUGUAACUUGUUUAGUAGGUAUUAUGUAAAUGUACAUAUUUAUGAAGCAACUAUAUCUUGCAAAUAGAAUUUUGAAAAAUCGGCCGUAAGAUGUCAUAUGUAUAGGGGAAUACGGCUAUGGUAGAAAAAUCACAUAUUUUCGAUAACGUUUAGGCCCCGAUCAAGACAGUCAACCAUAUUUACUCGUAUUCUCUCGUAUGGGGGCCUUAUCGUUGGGAGGUAAACUUUCCC
RNAcentral lists this long non-coding RNA (3052 nucleotides) under Fragaria vesca (wild strawberry). RNAcentral's name for it is "long non-coding RNA (FVES_LNC001929)". Lineage: Eukaryota; Viridiplantae; Streptophyta; Magnoliopsida; Rosales; Rosaceae. The record is from RNAcentral.